GAUGAACGCUGGCGGCGUGCCUAACACAUGCAAGUCGAGCGAUUUCCUUCGGAAGAGAGCGGCGGACGGGUGAGUAACGCGUGGGUAACCUGCCCUGUACACACGGAUAACAUACCGAAAGGUAUGCUAAUACGAGAUAAUAUACUUUUAUCACAUGGUGGAAGUAUCAAAGCUUUUGCGGUACAGGAUGGACCCGCGUCUGAUUAGCUAGUUGGUAAGGUAAUGGCUUACCAAGGCGACGAUCAGUAGCCGACCUGAGAGGGUGAUCGGCCACAUUGGAACUGAGACACGGUCCAAACUCCUAUGGGAGGCAGCAGUGGGGAAUAUUGCACAAUGGGCGAAAGCCUGAUGCAGCAACGCCGCGUGAGCAAUGAAGGCCUUCGGGUCGUAAAGCUCUGUCCUCAAGGAAGAUAAUGACGGUACUUGAGGAGGAAGCCCCGGCUAACUACGUGCCAGCAGCCGCCGUAA
This 468-nucleotide ribosomal RNA is filed under the name uncultured bacterium. RNAcentral's name for it is "partial 16S ribosomal RNA". It matches the Rfam family "Bacterial small subunit ribosomal RNA", at positions 28 to 523 of the family's 1533-position model. The record is from RNAcentral.